Patagioenas fasciata monilis is the source of this 82-nucleotide transfer RNA. It matches the Rfam family "tRNA". From Rfam's summary of the family: Transfer RNA (tRNA) molecules are approximately 80 nucleotides in length. Their secondary structure includes four short double-helical elements and three loops (D, anti-codon, and T loops). Lineage: Eukaryota; Metazoa; Chordata; Aves; Columbiformes; Columbidae. The record is from Rfam.
GACAAAGUAGCCAAGUGGUUAAGGCAGUGGACUUCUAAUCCAUUGUACUGUGCAUGUGUGGGUUUGAAUCCCAUCCUUGUCA